GAUAAACGCUGGCGGCGUGCCUUAAACAUGCAAGUCGGACGGCCCUUUCGGGGGCAGUGGCGAACGGCUGAGUAACACGUAAGUAACCUAUCCUCAAGUGGGGAAUAACUGCGAGAAAUCGUAGCUAAUACCGCAUGUGGUCGAGUAGCCACAAGGCUACUGGAGUAAAGCCUCAGGGUGCUUGAGGGAGGGCUUGCGGCCGAUUAGCUAGUUGGUGAGGUAAGAGCUCACCAAGGCGACGAUCGGUAGCUGGUCUGAGAGGAUGAUCAGCCAGACUGGGACUGAGAUACGGCCCAGACUCCUACGGGUGGCAG
This 314-nucleotide ribosomal RNA is filed under the name uncultured Chloroflexota bacterium. RNAcentral describes it as "bacterial SSU rRNA". It matches the Rfam family "Bacterial small subunit ribosomal RNA", at positions 28 to 351 of the family's 1533-position model. The record is from RNAcentral. Lineage: Bacteria; Bacillati; Chloroflexota.